AGAGUUUGAUUCUGGCUCAGGACGAACGCUGGCGGCGUGCCUAAUACAUGCAAGUAGAACGCUGAAGAGAGGAGCUUGCUCUUCUUGGAUGAGUUGCGAACGGGUGAGUAACGCGUAGGUAACCUGCCUUGUAGCGGGGGAUAACUAUUGGAAACGAUAGCUAAUACCGCAUAACAAUGGAUGACACAUGUCAUUUAUUUGAAAGGGGCAAUUGCUCCACUACGAGAUGGACCUGCGUUGGAUUAGCUAGUUGGUGGGGUAACGGCCCACCAAGGCGACGAUCCAUAGCCGGCCUGAGAGGGUGAACGGCCACAUUGGGACUGAGACACGGCCCAG
Molecule: ribosomal RNA, 336 nt
Filed under: uncultured bacterium
Lineage: Bacteria
Description: bacterial SSU rRNA
Rfam family: Bacterial small subunit ribosomal RNA
Source: RNAcentral